This 443-nucleotide long non-coding RNA is filed under the name Ananas comosus (pineapple). RNAcentral describes it as "long non-coding RNA (ACOM_LNC043211)". Lineage: Eukaryota; Viridiplantae; Streptophyta; Magnoliopsida; Poales; Bromeliaceae. The record is from RNAcentral.
UUGAUCUGGAAGAUCAAAGUGAAGUUUGAAUUAGAUUUGCAUCUUUCCCGAAUGAUUUUGGAGGUGUGGGAAUGAUUUCUAGAGAUAAUUGAGAGUUUCAGCGCAAAUUGGUCGCGAAAUGAAUUUAAAGAGAACCUUCGAAUUAUAAGGUUAAUGUUGGCCUAUUUGCUCAAAGUAAGGAAUGAAUGCAAGUUGUGAUGUUCCCGAAUUAAAUGAGUAGCUUGUGGAAGAGUGUUGGUAUGUUUCGGAAGUAAUUGAAGGGAUUCGGAGUUAACUGGACGCGUGAAACGGCUUCGAAGAAUGCUGUUGCCAGGCUGCUGCCAAGUGCAGAAUCUGCACUUGGUUCCGGUACUGGAAGUGGUACCGAUACCAGAACUGAAAACAGGGCAGGGACUACAAUGCAAUUUCGAUUUUUGGAGAGGUUUUGAUGCAUUUUUUUGAGC